GACGAACGCUGGCGGCGUGCUUAACACAUGCAAGUCGUACGGUAAGGCCCUUUCCGGGCUACACGAGUGUCGAACGGGUGAGUAACACGUGAGUAACCUGCCCACAACUUUGGGAUAACGCUAGGAAACUGGUGCUAAUACUGGAUAUGUGCUCCUGUUGCAUGGGGGGGGUUGGAAAGCUCCGGCGGUUGUGGAUGGACUCGCGGCCUAUCAGCUUGUUGGUGGGGUAGUGGGCUACCAAGGCGGCGACGGGUAGCCGGCCUGCGUGGGUGACCGGCCACAUUGGGACUGAGAGACGGCCCAGACUGCUACGGGAGGCAGCAGUGGGGAAUAUUGCACAAUGGGCGCAAGCCUGAUGCAGCAACGCCGCGUGCGGGAUGACGGCCUUCGGGUUGUAAACCGCUUUCAGCAGGGACGAAGCUUUUUGUGACGGUACCUGCAGAAGAAGCACCGGCUAACUACGUG
Molecule: ribosomal RNA, 465 nt
Filed under: uncultured bacterium
Lineage: Bacteria
Description: partial 16S ribosomal RNA
Rfam family: Bacterial small subunit ribosomal RNA
Source: RNAcentral